RNAcentral lists this ribosomal RNA (748 nucleotides) under uncultured Haemophilus sp. RNAcentral describes it as "bacterial SSU rRNA". It matches the Rfam family "Bacterial small subunit ribosomal RNA", at positions 40 to 776 of the family's 1533-position model. The record is from RNAcentral. Lineage: Bacteria; Pseudomonadati; Pseudomonadota; Gammaproteobacteria; Pasteurellales; Pasteurellaceae.
CGGCAGGCUUAACACAUGCAAGUUCGAACGGUAACAGGAGAGAGCUUGCUUUCUUGCUGACGAGUGGCGGACGGGUGAGUAAUGCUUGGGAAUCUGGCUUAUGGAGGGGGAUAACGACGGGAAACUGUCGCUAAUACCGCGUAGAGUCGAGAGACGAAAGUGCGGGACCGCAAGGCCGCAUGCCAUAGGAUGAGCCCAAGUGGGAUUAGGUAGUUGGUGGGGUAAUGGCCUACCAAGCCGACGAUCUCUAGCUGGUCUGAGAGGAUGACCAGCCACACCGGGACUGAGACACGGCCCGGACUCCUACGGGAGGCAGCAGUGGGGAAUAUUGCGCAAUGGGGGCAACCCUGACGCAGCCAUGCCGCGUGAAUGAAGAAGGCCUUCGGGUUGUAAAGUUCUUUCGGUGACGAGGAAGGCGUGAUGUUUAAUAGGCAUCACGAUUGACGUUGAUCACAGAAGAAGCACCGGCUAACUCCGUGCCAGCAGCCGCGGUAAUACGGAGGGUGCGAGCGUUAAUCGGAAUAACUGGGCGUAAAGGGCACGCAGGCGGCUAUUUAAGUGAGGUGUGAAAUCCCCGGGCUUAACCUGGGAAUUGCAUUUCAGACUGGGUAGCUAGAGUACUUUAGGGAGGGGUAGAAUUCCACGUGUAGCGGUGAAAUGCGUAGAGAUGUGGAGGAAUACCGAAGGCGAAGGCAGCCCCUUGGGAAUGUACUGACGCUCAUGUGCGAAAGCGUGGGGAGCAAACAGG